RNAcentral lists this long non-coding RNA (556 nucleotides) under Selaginella moellendorffii. Its description in RNAcentral is "long non-coding RNA (SMOE_LNC002325)". Lineage: Eukaryota; Viridiplantae; Streptophyta; Lycopodiopsida; Selaginellales; Selaginellaceae. The record is from RNAcentral.
UGGCGAGGAUGCGUCUGGGAACUCCUUUGUCGGGGACGGGCUACGAGGUGGCACGGACACUUCUCGCACGUCGUCUAUAGUUCCUGGUGACGAAGGAGCUCGUGGAGAUUCUUUAGCAUCUGUAGGCCAGUGGGUUUGAGGUGGCACGGAUACUUCUUGCAAGUCGUCGAUAGUUCCUGGCGACCAAGGAGCUUGUGGAGAAUCUCUAGCAGCUGUAGGCGAGUGACUGAGAGGUGGCACGGACACUUCUCGCAAGUCGUCGAUAGUUCCUGGCGAGUGGCUUUGAGGUGGCACAGACGCUUCCCGCAAGUCGUCUAUAGUUCCUGGCGACCAAGGAGCUUGUGGAGAAUCUCUAGCAGCUGUAGGCGAGUGACUGAGAGGUGGCACGGACACUUCUCGCAAGUCGUCGAUAGUUCCUGGCGAGUGGCUUUGAGGUGGCACAGACGCUUCCCGCAAGUCGUCAAAAGUUCUUGGUGACGAAGGAGCUUGUGGAGAUUCGCUAGCAUCUGUAGGCGAGUGACCUUGAGGUGGCAGCGAUGAUUCUGGCAGGCCGCGA